AGUUAAAAUUUUCAUUCAUUUCUACCGUUAAAAACUGGUAUGGUUGACGGAAUAACUAAACAGUUAGACAUGACGUACCAUGUUUACCUCAUAUCGACAUACAAAGACCGGUUUUUAAUAGUAGAAAUAGAUAAUUUUUUUAACA
Non-coding RNA from Gossypium hirsutum (cotton), 145 nucleotides. The record is from Rfam. Lineage: Eukaryota; Viridiplantae; Streptophyta; Magnoliopsida; Malvales; Malvaceae.